GACGAACGCUGGCGGCGUGCUUAACACAUGCAAGUCGAACGGAAAGGCCCUGCUUUUGUGGGGUGCUCGAGUGGCGAACGGGUGAGUAACACGUGAGUAACCUGCCCUUGACUUUGGGAUAACUUCAGGAAACUGGGGCUAAUACCGGAUAGGAGCUCCUGCUGCAUGGUGGGGGUUGGAAAGUUUCGGCGGUUGGGGAUGGACUCGCGGCUUAUCAGCUUGUUGAUGGGGUAGUGGCUUACCAAGGCUUUGACGGGUAGCCGGCCUGAGAGGGUGACCGGCCACAUUGGGACUGAGAUACGGCCCAGACGCCUACGGGAGGCAGCAGUGGGGAGUAUUGCACAAUGGGCGGAAGCCUGAUGCAGCAACGCCGCGUGCGGGAUGACGGCCUUCGGGUUGUAAACCGCUUUCGCCUGUGACGAAGCGUGAGUGACGGUAAUGGGUAAAGAAGCACCGGCUAACUACGUG
RNAcentral lists this ribosomal RNA (468 nucleotides) under uncultured bacterium. RNAcentral describes it as "partial 16S ribosomal RNA". It matches the Rfam family "Bacterial small subunit ribosomal RNA", at positions 28 to 507 of the family's 1533-position model. The record is from RNAcentral.